This 3356-nucleotide long non-coding RNA is filed under the name Strigops habroptila (Kakapo). Its description in RNAcentral is "lncRNA (ENSSHBG00005008329.1)". Lineage: Eukaryota; Metazoa; Chordata; Aves; Psittaciformes; Psittacidae. The record is from RNAcentral.
UUUGAAAAUACAUCAACCAUAGAGAAUAGAGCUUUAAUUCCUCUUUCUGAACAACAAUAAGGAACAGUUGACAUAAAAAACAAAAGCAUGGAUAAAACAAUAUAAAACAGAUAUUGUACCACAGAGUGGAAUUCAAAUCAUCCAAGAACAUUAGCAGCACUUCUACAAAUAUAUUAAAAGCUAUAGUGCUUGUUAAGCUCAAUAGAGCAACUCCCAGAGACCAAAAUGGCAUCAACAGAUAAAAGCAGCAAUUCGGUGUAGGGCAACAUAAAAGUCUAAUGCCAGGACAUCAGAUACAUUCAUAACCCUGCUGUGGAGAGGUAAUCCCUGUCCAGGAUUUGGCUUUUCAAUCCUUUCUCUUCCUCAGCACUGCAGCCACACCUAUUCUCAAAACUUCCAGGUAUUUUAAACAUCUUGUGCAUAGUUUAAAUUUUAGCAUUGAUUUAUUAAAAACUAAAGUAAUUCUUUAAAUCAUAAUCGAGCCGCCGACCCUCGGUGCGGCAGCGGCUCCGGAGGCACCACAGCCUGACACGGAGCAGGGGCUGGGACCUGCAGCUCCAUCCCCGGGCUCCCCGCUCGGUCCCCAUGUGCAAAACUCAUUUCAAAAGGGAAGUUAUUAAAGUACUGAACGGGAAUUUAAGGUUGAAUAUGCUUAUCACUAAUCUAAAAUUAGACACAUUAACAGACUGCUAUGGCUAUUCCAGCAACGCACAUUCUCCAGGAAAUUCGGGAUUCGGACAAAGCUUAGAACAAAUCUGAACACUCCAAACCACGGAAACGGCACCAGAACAGCUUAACUCAGCCCUCACUGCCAGCACCACACACAAAGGGGGUGUCAGUGGGACCACAAAGACUUCAGGUGCCUUCAUCAGUGAUAAUGUGCUUACUUCAGGGCAAGCACCGAGGAUCAUGACCUUGAGAAGAGGAUCAUUGGGGUGCCUGAAAGCGCAGGCAGCAGGAAGCGGCAUUUUAUCUGCUCUGGGGUGUCUGGAAACUGGUUCUGGUGAGUUACAACCCUUCGGUCCCGCUGGAGAAGUGUCACUUCAUCCGCAGGUUGUGCUCUUUCACUACCAAUUUGUGCUCAGGCGAUUGUAAAAUGCUGAAACCCCCUCCCCAGGACUGCUCGGCCCACGUGGGAAUUCCCAAAUGGAGUGAAAAUGUUGGACAGAUGUUGGAUGAAAUGCCAACCAUCUCAGCCCUCCUGACACACAGGCUCUGAACAGCAAUGCCACAGGAGAGAGCAGAGAUCUAAGACAUUAGAAGAGAUUAUUAAAAGCAAAUUUAGGUGAUGAGGAUCCUAAAUUGGUUUCGCACCUAUUUUGAGGACUGUCACCACAGCGGCUCCCAGUGCAGAGGAUUAAAUAGCUACUCCCAGUAAAUGAGGAGAGAAAGGAAAACCAGCCAGCUGGAUUCAAAUAAGAAAUAAAUACACGAGAAAGAAGAAGAACCUCAUCCCAUAAACUGCUCUUGGCCACACGGCUGGUGUCUCUGAGGUGGGGAUUUGGGAUGGGCUCAGCUUGCCCACGGAUGGGUUGUGGCAGAACCGCAAUUCCAAGCUACCACGUCAAGAAUGUCACUUCCCUUGAUCUGGUUUUAUCUUCGCAGUGAUGGAAAGGUCCAUGUGGGUAUGUGAAGGGAUGUUAAAACCAUAAGAGGCUGGGUGAGAGCAGAACAGGGUAGCAGCAAAAAGUCCCCAUGCAAAAAGCCCUCUCAGUCUUCAUGAAUCACACUGAUAGCAAAGCGCUUCAGAGACCCAACACAGUGAGAGAAAAACUCCUGCAAAACCCACACAUUCAGGAACAAAGACAACUUCUAAAGGGUUUACAUGAGUAACACUGAAAGGGAUGGGUACCAAGAGUUAUUUGGUAGGUUGCAUCAGCAGAAAGCUCAAAUGCAGAAAGGGAAUCCAUUAGUAACUCCCUCGGGGAACACGGGGCUGGGACAUUCACUGUAUUUAAAGAUACCGAGAUGACUGAGAGCUGAGCAGCACAUAAAGUGAAUCCCUCAUGCCUCUGAGGAUGCUCAGCAUGGGUGCAAUGUGAGUUGAGCAUCUCAGCCCAUGUCCAUCCUUCACUCCCGCUCGGUCUGGAGCCACCUGGAGCAGGGAAUACGGGCUGGGACAAGCGGGAUACUGUGCCCUGGGGCAGGAUGCAGCAGUCUCAAGCCAGAAGGGGCAGCAGCUCCAAGUCCCUGGUCCCAUAGACCAGGCUAAAGAUAGUCCCAGCCUGAAGUGCCAUUGCAGGGGGUGGAUUUCAGCAGCACGGAGCCGCUGGGAUGAGACAUUCCUCUCCCCAAGGAGCCAGACAAGAUGACUGUAUAUGGGCAAGAAUUCCCCUGCCAUGGGCUUCUCCCGCCGUGGUAAACACGAUCCUGUGGCGGCACAGCUGGGAGAUCUGCGAGUCCCACAGGACCACGGGAUCCUCACUGUCAGGAGCCCACAAUAGUGCUUUAUCCCAGCAGAGGGGCAGAGCAGGACAGGAGAAGUGCUACAAGCAGCUGCACAAUGAGAACCUUUGCUUAAAUUUAGCAGGAUUUAACCAUCAAACAGACAUGGAGCCCCAGGCUCCUGGUGCUGCUUCACUGGGGUAUCCACAGGCACCUAAAGCUGUGGCUGGCAAGGAGCAGAGCUGCCACCCUGCCACUGCGGAUCUGAUGAUCAAACCGAGCUGGGACCACGCGAGGAGAGGGGCUGGGGAAGGGCAGAGCACAGGGACUACCACAGCCUGUUCCUGCCCUGCCUGCUCCUGUGCGGGCAGCACGGCCAGGGCCCGGCAGGGUGGGCAGGGGGAGCCAUCCACCACUGCAGGGCAUGGAAACGGCUCACGUCUUCCCCUCAGGCCUGCACAGAGCUGCACCUCCGAGCCCAGACUCGAGCUCUCACAGGAGCACGGGGGAGCAGAUGGUUUUCACUGACUUGUGUAGGAACUGGAGCAGAGCAGUGCAUUUGGGCACUGCCUUCAGCCAGGAGAGCAGAUCAACUCCCCAAGCAUUACAUGAUCAAGUAUGGAUCACGUAAUACUCCUUUCCUAACCAGAGGUAUGAUCAGCUGUGAAGCAGAAUGACUUUACUCCCACGUUAAAUGACAUACCGUAUUCUUUGGACUAUCCAAUUUCUUUGCAACCCACACCAAGCCUGGACCCUGCAACUGUCCUUGCACAAGCUAAUCCCAGGGCUGGCACAGAACCCGUUCGAGCAGAGGUCUGCUCUGUGGAACUCAGCACUACAGCUCGAACAAAGCCUUUGCUAAUGCUUUUUCCUCUUUUCUUACUUCUUUUCCAGUUUUAAGGUCAGAACUAAACCCAAGCCAAGCUGAGGUCGUGAUGGUGGUUCUGCUCUGAGCUUCCUGUUGCUGUACC